This 253-nucleotide ribosomal RNA is filed under the name Dorea formicigenerans. RNAcentral's name for it is "partial 16S ribosomal RNA". It matches the Rfam family "Bacterial small subunit ribosomal RNA", at positions 524 to 776 of the family's 1533-position model. The record is from RNAcentral. Lineage: Bacteria; Bacillati; Bacillota; Clostridia; Lachnospirales; Lachnospiraceae.
UACGUAGGGGGCAAGCGUUAUCCGGAUUUAUUGGGUGUAAAGGGAGCGUAGACGGCUGUGCAAGUCUGAAGUGAAAGGCAUGGGCUCAACCUGUGGACUGCUUUGGAAACUGUGCAGCUAGAGUGUCGGAGAGGUAAGUGGAAUUCCUAGUGUAGCGGUGAAAUGCGUAGAUAUUAGGAGGAACACCAGUGGCGAAGGCGGCUUACUGGACGAUGACUGACGUUGAGGCUCGAAAGCGUGGGGAGCAAACAGG